This 77-nucleotide ribosomal RNA is filed under the name Staphylococcus aureus. RNAcentral's name for it is "partial 23S ribosomal RNA". The record is from RNAcentral. Lineage: Bacteria; Bacillati; Bacillota; Bacilli; Caryophanales; Staphylococcaceae.
UGAGGUUAAUAGGUUCGAGGUGGAAGCAUGGUGACAUGUGGAGCUGACGAAUACUAAUCGAUCGAAGACUUAAUCAA